Long non-coding RNA from Chelonia mydas (Green sea turtle), 353 nucleotides. RefSeq lists it as uncharacterized. The record is from RefSeq and is a predicted model, not a curated record. Lineage: Eukaryota; Metazoa; Chordata; Testudines; Cheloniidae. The transcript is spliced from 3 exons.
CAGGCUCUCCGGGAAUCCCAGAAGCCCAGCUGGGAUCUGGAACUUGGUCCUCGGACUGAUCACUCUCUACCAGCCGGGCAAUCAGCUGUUCUUGGGAUUGGCUGUGCUUUGAUGGGUUCCUGGUAGAGGUUGAAAUUUGUGUCCCUGGAAAAACGAAACCUGCAAAAGAUUCCUCUGCCAACCGAGAGUGGAAAAGCCAUCUCAAACGGGAGCCAAACAAUGCGUGAGUUUCCUCGGGCCCUUUGCAGGGUGCCAGUUAGCGUCAGCAGCCGCAUGGUGAGAGCAUCGUUUGUGCAGCUGAAUGCAGCUCCUCCUGCUCCUACUCUAGUCGCACCAUUAUUAGCCAUUAGCUG